AUAAGUAGGGGGCGAGCGUUGUCCGGAAUGAUUGGGCGUAAAGGGCGCGUAGGCGGCCCGGUAAGUCUGGAGUGAAAGUCCUGUUUUUAAGAUGGGAAUUGCUUUGGAUACUGUCGGGCUUGAGUGCAGGAGAGGAAAGUGGAAUUCCCAGUGUAGCGGUGAAAUGCGUAGAGAUUGGGAGGAACACCAGUGGCGAAGGCGACUUACUGGACUGUAACUGACGCUGAGGCGCGAAAGUGUGGGGAGCAAACAGGAUUAGAUACCCUGGUAGUCCACACUGUAAACGAUGAAUGCUAGGUGUAGGGGGUAUCGACCCCUUCUGCGCCGCAGGCAACACAAUAAGCAUUCUGCCUGGGGAGUACGGCCGCAAGGUUGAAACUUAAAGGAAUUGACGGGG
Molecule: ribosomal RNA, 397 nt
Filed under: uncultured bacterium
Lineage: Bacteria
Description: partial 16S ribosomal RNA
Rfam family: Bacterial small subunit ribosomal RNA
Source: RNAcentral